Molecule: ribosomal RNA, 494 nt
Filed under: uncultured bacterium
Lineage: Bacteria
Description: partial 16S ribosomal RNA
Rfam family: Bacterial small subunit ribosomal RNA
Source: RNAcentral
GACGAACGCUGGCGGCGUGCUUAACACAUGCAAGUCGAACGGUUAAGCGCCUUCCUUUUUGGUGGGUGUGGAUGAGUGGCGAACGGGUGAUUAACACGUGAGUAACCUGCCCCCUUCUUCUGGAUAACCGCAUGAAAGUGUGGCUAAUACGGGAUAUUCUGGGUCUGUCGCAUGAUGGGUCUGGGAAAGAUAUUGUUUCGGUGGGGCAUGGGCUCGCGGCCUAUCAGCUUGUUGGUGGGGUGAUGGCCUACCAAGGCGGUGAGGGGUAGCAGGCCUGAGAGGGUGGGCGGUCACAAUGGGACUGAGACACGGCACAGACUCCUACGGGAGGCAGCAGUGGGGAAUAUUGCACAAUGGGCGCAAGCCUGAUGCAGCGACGCCGCGUGAGGGAUGGAGGCCUUCGGGUUGUAAACCUCUUUCGCCAGUGAAGCAGGCCUGCCUCGUUUGUGAGUGGGUUGACGGUAGCUGGAGAAGAAGCGACGGCUAACUACGUG